AGUUAAUGAAUUGCUGCCCCUGAGGGCGAUGGGAAAGGAAAACAGGCCGGCUCCAGGCAGAGAGCUGGCCAGCCGCUCAGGUUUCAAAAACACUGACUGCUGUUGCUCUGACAGCCAAUUUGUCCCAGCCUGCCCCCAACAAAAGGCCACAUCUGGUCAUUAGAUCCCAGGGUCUGAAGGACAAUGUGGACGGGCUGUACCAUAUUUGUCCCCUUGUGUUUAUGUGUUGAGCCCUUGGAGCUGUGUUCUUGGUUGCUGAGUUUACACACAAUCACAGCCUCGGUUUACAUUACUGCUGGAAUGGUGACUCAUCCAGAUUUCUGUCAUAUCUGCCACAGGAUGGUUUUUCCACACUGAACACCCAUUCAUUGAUUUACCUAUUUCCUCUUAAUUAUCAUCACUAAUGAUAAUUCUAAUGGUAAAGAAAAGAUAACAGUUAACAAUAAUGAAUUCAUAAAUAAUGAUAAUAAUUAUAAGAAGAAUAACAUUAGUAUCAUCAUAUGACUUACUCUCAACAAAAUUAAAAUAUAAAUUGAUUUGUUUCUCUCUCCUCUUCUCUUUCUCCUGCGCCUCCUCGGACAUAAAACCUCUGGUCACAACUAUUCACAUACAGCAGGAAUAUAUGAAUAAUACACACUUAAACAACACACUUCAUACAUGCACAUAAACACUUACAAUUUGUGCUACACCUUUCACUUUAUGAAUUGUUGAAUAAAACAUGAAAUGAAGAUGAAUGAAUAAAAAUCAUUUGUCACAUUUUCCACAAUCAUAGUCCAUCUCAACUCUCAGACUGCAGCUGCAGCUUCAGUUACAUGGCGUCCUUUCAGUGCUCUUUACUGAUAACAGCUCUCGUUAUCAAGUUUACCUUGUUUGUUGUCUGUUUGCAGAUGCAAACCAUGAAGCAGCAGCAGAAGCCAUUGAGAACAUGGCAGACGCAGUCACACACGCUAGGUUUGUGGGAACAGACCCUGCCAGCGAUGAAGUGGUCCUCAUGAAAAUUCUACAGGUCCUGAGGACUCUGCUGCUGACACCCGUUGGAGCCCAUCUGACCAACGAGUCCGUCUGUGAGAUCAUGCAGUCCUGCUUCAGGAUCUGCUUUGAGAUGCGCCUAAGUGAGCUCCUCAGGAAAUCAGCUGAACAUACACUGGUUGACAUGGUGCAGCUACUGUUCUCUAGGUAAAUGAAUGGGACAGUGGUGAAUGGAGAUGGGUGCAGUGUUAGUUAGACGUGUGUUCAGCUAUACCUUAAUAUGUAUAUAAUACUUAAUACUCCUGAAAUGGUUGGGAAUCAGUACGUUAACAGUAUGUUUUUUAUGCCUCCACACUGGUAACAGGCGUGGCUGGAGGCAUUAUGUUUUUGGGUUAUCCAUCCGACCGUGGGUCCGUCCGACCCUCCGUUCGGUCCAUUAUUGUGAAUGUAAUCACAAGAACACCUGAAGGGAAUUUCUUGAGAAUUGGCACAAACGUUCACAUGGACUGAAAGAUGAACUGAUUGGAUUUGGAGGUCAAAAGUCAUGGACACUGUGACCUCACGUCCGUCACAUUCUUCUGAACGUGAUGUCUCAGGAACACUUCGAGCAAAUUUUUUCAAAUUUGGCACAAACGUCCACUUCCAUCAGAGAUCUUCUUUGUGUCAUCAACACACACUCUCUUGCAAAUAACAUUGCAACAGUAUACAACCCAAUCUCCUUACAUCCAUCCACACGACGUUCACAACACUUCCAGACGAGGUGCGGGGAUGGAGAGGAAACACGCCGUGACCAUGCCCACUUAGCAGACAGGAAGUGAUUGCCAUUUAAAAACCAGUGGCUGAGCUUGAAAUGGGACUUCUUUGUAAAAGAGCAUCUUUGCUUGCACUCAAGGUUGAACUGAUUUAGAGUUUGGUAUUCAAAGGUCACUGUGACCUCACAAAACGCAUUUCAAGAAUUCAUAUGCUAAUUAUGAGAAUUUCACACAAAUGUCUAAUAAUGUAAAAUGAUGAAGACAUUCGGACAGACAUGUUGUAAACUGUCACUUGACUGGUUGACUGAAGCAAACAACCGCGUAGUGGUAAUUGUAGUUUGAAGCAGCACCCAAGAUUCAAUUCUAGUGAUACUGUAUGUUAUAUUUAAAAAAAGUUUUUUUAUUUAUUAUGAAGAACAGGAAAAUAAAGAGCAGUUUCAAACCUCAAAUCUUAGUUGUCUGCCCACAGAAGAAGCAGGCCGGACUGCUGCUGCACUCCUUUAUCACCUCUGGAUUAGUGAUUGUUGGUUUUCUGCAUACAUCUGUCUCUCAGGCCUCAUUAUUCCCCUUCAAGCUCAUGAAUUUCAUUUUGCACCGUGCACAGGGUCAAUGGGCCACUGAUUUACUAAUGCCAUAACAUGAUUUCUCCUUUGCCAUUUAGCAUAAGAGCUCCUCUCUCCACAUCACCCCUCCUCACAAACCACCCCGUCCAGAUGCAUCAGAGUGCCAGUCACAUUCAGUCACAGACGAGGGGAUGAGCCGAUUGAGCUGCACACUACAUGAUCUGCAUAUAGAUGAAGCCGGUCUCUGCUUCAACAGCAAAGCUCCCUGCCCCAUAAAUACCGAGAUGCAGACCUAUAUACACACACACGCGCGCACACCAACACAGGCACAGACACGCACACACAGGCACACAUACAGAAUUAGCUUUGCCAGUGACUGCAGACAUCAAGCAAUCAUGAAAAUCAGAAAAGAAAUCUCAAAAUCUUUCUGCUCAUCUGAAUGUGAAGGAAACCUGCAAAACAAAUGGAGCUUGAUUUAAAGUUCUGGUGUUAUUCACCUACUCUGUGAAGGCCUGUUUGUCUCCAACAGGACUAUUUGACGCAGGAUUUGUCACAAAGUGAUGGGUUACCUUCCCUCCGCUGAAGUCCAGUGGUGGAUUUUGCCAAGCUUGUCGCAAUCCACCGACGCUCCCUCCAAACAUUCUUGGCCUGUUUUUAUUUACUGGCAUGACUCUUGUAUGGCACCUUGUUAUCAUUUCUUCUCACAAGAAUCUACUGUGCGAGCAUGGAAAUAUAGAAACAGUCGUAAACGGAGGCAUCGCUGCACGUGAGCAGGAGAUGUCAAUUUAGUUUGGGCUUUUUAUUGCAUCCUUCUGAUUCUGUGCACACUCACACACCCCACAUCUCAUUUUGCUCAUGUUCAACCCCCAGCCCCCCACUUGUCCACAGACCCUGGAUAAUAUAGAUGUGAGAGGCUCUCAACCCCCCCUCCCACCACCACACUCUCAUCAGAGAAUAAUGAACAGCAGCUCUCUUCAGCUCCUCAGAAGCAGUCUUAGAUUGCCUGCUGAUAGUAUUAGACAUGUUAAUCUGUUGGACCCACAGAUCAUCCAAUAACCGUGCUCGCAAGACAACACUCUAUUAACACUGAGUUAAUGUCAGAAGGGGGGCUGCCUGAUCCUUUUUUUUUGUUUGCCUGUGUGUGUGCGCGCGCAUGCGCGUGUGUGUGUGUGAGUGACUGGUGGUGACAUCUCAUUUUCCGGCAAAGCUUUAGUGUCCACAGAAACAUAGUGGUGCGCGCGCACGCACACACACACACACACACACACACACACACAC
Anarrhichthys ocellatus (wolf-eel) is the source of this 3562-nucleotide long non-coding RNA. RefSeq lists it as uncharacterized. The transcript has 3 exons. NCBI's taxonomy places the organism in Eukaryota, Metazoa, Chordata, Actinopteri, Perciformes, Anarhichadidae. The record is from RefSeq and is a predicted model, not a curated record.